Molecule: non-coding RNA, 201 nt
Organism: Oryza glumipatula
Lineage: Eukaryota; Viridiplantae; Streptophyta; Magnoliopsida; Poales; Poaceae
Source: Rfam
UAUAAGUACAGUUGUGGGUUCCCGUAUCCAACGUUUGACUAUCUGUAUUAUCUGAAAAAAAAUUAUGAUUAGUUCUUUUAUUGUUAUUACAUCAUAAAACAUGAAUAGUUGUGACUAUUUUUUUAAAACUUUUUUUCAUAAAUUUCUCAAAUAAGAUGGACGGUUAAACGUUGGACACGGAAACCCACAACUGCACUUAUA